This 128-nucleotide microRNA precursor is filed under the name Microtus ochrogaster (prairie vole). Its description in RNAcentral is "miRNA (ENSMOCG00000006553.1)". Lineage: Eukaryota; Metazoa; Chordata; Mammalia; Rodentia; Cricetidae. The record is from RNAcentral.
GGUUUCUCUAUGUAGCCCUGGCUGUCCUGGAACUCUCUCUGUAGAACAGGCUGGCCUCAAACUCACAGAGAUCCACCUGCCUCUGCCUCCCGAGUGCUGGGAUUAAAAGUGUGCACCACCACCGCCCG